ACAGUUUUUGCUUCAUCAUUAUGGGUUAUUGUGUGUAGAUUGAGGAAUUGUGUUUAUCCAUUUUAGAAUAAGGCUGUAAGAAAAUGUGGGAAAAGUCAAGGGUGUCUGAAUACUUUCCGAAUUCACUGUAUGUAUUUAUGCAUCGCAUGUCCCUUUCAUACUGUAUGUGUGUGUAUUCUCUGUUUGGAUAUAUGGGUGGCUGGGGACAGUAGUUGUCUUGGAUGCAGUUUUGUCAAUCAUCAAGGGACACUGGGAGCGGAAUCCGAGGGUACAGAUAAAGCGAGAGAAGGGAAAGAACAGCUGAGUGAUCACACCUGGCAGACGGGAGUGGCUACCAAACCAGCUAAAGAACUGGUGAACCUGCUAGUAUGGAUGCCCUCAUGGCCUGCCUGGUGGCCAUGUGUCUCUGUCUGGUCCUCCCAGUGAGCUGGUCCCAGAGCACACACAAGUCAGAGGAGUUUAUCAAUACCCAGCCUCAACCUGCCCCUGGAGUACUACCACAACUGGCUCCUGCAGCAGCACACAUCCAGGAUGUGCUGAAGAGUAAAGAGGAGACCGAGAUCACUUCAAAACAAAUGUAUGCGAAUGUGGGCCACGACAACGCCAAACUGGGCCUGUUCAUAGCUGCUGCCCUGGGAAUCGUGGCGCUGAUGGGCAUGGUCUACUGCAUCUACAUGCAGUUUUACACCAAGCACCAGUACCUGCACACCCAGCUCCACGAUGACUCUGAGUUGACCCUUGACCUCCCAGAGGCACCUCCUGUUUUCUUCCACGGUUCCGUCGGUGCAAUGGACAGAAAGGGAGAGGUGCGGGGAUCUGGUAAUGGAUCUUUCAUCUCUAACACACCCUCCACCAUCUCUGUACCGCCCAGGCUGUCCCCUCCUCCCUCCGCUGUGCCCUACCUUCCCCUCUUCCUCGCCUCUUACCCUCUCAGGACCAUAUCUGUUAGAGAUCUGGAGAGAAGCUUUGUCUGAAAUGAGGUACUUAUCACCAGUGACUGGAGACAUAUUAACCUGAUCAUUAAGAACAAAGUUUUUUCUCUUAGCUAAAUUAACUGAAGUUGGUGCUGUUGAACUCAUAAUAAAAUGGACUCUCACUGUGCAUUUCCUGUGAUCCUGUGGUUUUUGGAAAUUGACAAAUUCAACAACUGAAUUUUUUUUUUUUGGCAGUACUAUGGUAGAUGAGUAGUAGAUCACAUGCCAUGUCAUAUUCAGGCCAGUAGGUGCUAGAACACUGGUGAUACAGUAGGGUGAUUUUAUGAUGAAAACUUCAGUGAUGGCAGGGAUUGGAAUAAGACUCUCAUCAAUAAAAUCAACAGCCUGAAAUAGUAGCCAAUAGUACUCAUAAUGUGGCGAGAUCAGAGCACAUCCAUGUUUGUGGAUGUACAGUUAUUAUGGUGAGCUUUAACUAAAGAUAUUGGUUAUGCUUCCAAUCUCUGGGGACCACUCUGGCCCUAAAUGACUUGUUUCUCCAGUACAUGUUUGCCAGAAUAGACUAAUCUAAUGCCCUUCAUUCAGUGUUUGUGUGGUACAAGAAUAGCCAGGCUACUUAACACACCGGGCUGCAGGAAAGGAAGUGACACCAUACCUCGCUACACAAUCGGGCAGAUUAGCGUUGGGGGCAGUAAUCUGGUUUCAGCACCAUGGAUAGCGACACUCGCAGCCAGACAGCGGCCGACCGUUCAUUCGAGAUACACAUUUGGAUUUGUUUUAUAAAUUAUUUUUAACUUGCUAAAGCACUGCUAAAACAACGUAGGCUAUUGUCUAAUCUCAAUUUUGGGAAAUGUGGGCAUGGGAACUGUUAGUGCUUUUUUCUUGAAUAUUUACUUGCGGCUCACUUUGGUUUGAUUUAGACUAGAAUAAUCAGAGGGCAUUAGGAGGGUGUGGAUGUCUGUGUUCAUAACUCUGUGCGUAAAAACGGUGUGGACCAGCUGGUUGAGAAAGGAAAGCGAGAUUUAAUGGUGUGUGAGUGAAAGGUUAAGGGCGGAGGGAGAAGGUGAUAGGGAAGAGAGCUACGCGCUCAAGCGGGAGUGCGCGCGGGAAGCAAAUCGGU
This 2052-nucleotide long non-coding RNA is filed under the name Oncorhynchus mykiss (rainbow trout). RNAcentral describes it as "lncRNA (ENSOMYG00000061724.1)". The record is from RNAcentral. Lineage: Eukaryota; Metazoa; Chordata; Actinopteri; Salmoniformes; Salmonidae.